Molecule: transfer RNA, 66 nt
Filed under: Graphium androcles
Lineage: Eukaryota; Metazoa; Arthropoda; Insecta; Lepidoptera; Papilionidae
Description: tRNA-Met
Source: RNAcentral
UUAAAAAUAAGCUAAAUAAAGCUUUUGGGCUCAUAAUUCAAAUAUAAAGGAAAUCCUUUUUUUUAA